CCUACGGGAGGCAGCAGUGGGGAAUAUUGCACAAUGGGGGAAACCCUGAUGCAGCAACGCCGCGUGAGUGAAGAAGUAUUUCGGUAUGUAAAGCUCUAUCAGCAGGGAAGAAGAUUACGGUACCUGAUCAACAAGCCCCGGCUAACUACGUGUCAGCAGCCGCGGUAACACGUAGGGGGCAAGCGUUAUCCGGAUUGACUGGGUGUAAAGGGAGCGCAGGCGGCAGUGCAAGUCUGGAGUGAAAGCCCGGGGCCCAACCCCGGGACUGCUCUGGAAACUGUGCGGCUAGAGUACUGGAGGGGCAGGCGGAAUUCCUGGUGUAGCAGUGAAAUGCGUAGAUAUUAGGAGGAACACCAGUGGCGAAGGCGGGCUGCUGGACAGUAACUGACGUUGAGGCUCGAAAGCGUGGGGAGCGAACAGGAUUAGAUACCCUGGUAGUC
This 440-nucleotide ribosomal RNA is filed under the name uncultured bacterium. Its description in RNAcentral is "partial 16S ribosomal RNA". It matches the Rfam family "Bacterial small subunit ribosomal RNA", at positions 338 to 795 of the family's 1533-position model. The record is from RNAcentral.